RNAcentral lists this ribosomal RNA (394 nucleotides) under uncultured Anaeromyxobacter sp. RNAcentral's name for it is "bacterial SSU rRNA". It matches the Rfam family "Bacterial small subunit ribosomal RNA", at positions 67 to 447 of the family's 1533-position model. Lineage: Bacteria; Pseudomonadati; Myxococcota; Myxococcia; Myxococcales; Anaeromyxobacteraceae. The record is from RNAcentral.
CGAGAAAGCCCGCAAGGGUGAGUAAAGCGGCGCACGGGUGCGUAACACGUGGGUAAUCUGCCCUGGAGUCCGGAAUAACUCGCCGAAAGGCGUGCUAAUGCCGGAUGAGACCACGGGAGCUCCGGCUCCUGCGGGAAAAGGUGGCCUCUGUAUACAAGCUAUCGCUUCAGGAUGAGCCCGCGGCCCAUCAGCUCGUUGGCGGGGUAAUGGCCCACCAAGGCUACGACGGGUAGCUGGUCUGAGAGGACGAUCAGCCACACUGGAACUGAGACACGGUCCAGACUCCUACGGGAGGCAGCAGUGGGGAAUCUUGCGCAAUGGGCGAAAGCCUGACGCAGCAACGCCGCGUGUGUGAUGAAGGUCUUCGGAUCGUAAAGCACUGUCGCGAGGGACG